UACGGAGGGGGCUAGCGUUGCUCGGAAUUACUGGGCGUAAAGCGCACGUAGGCGGCGUACAAAGUCAGGCGUGAAAGGCCUGGGCUCAACCCAGGAACUGCGCUUGAGACUGGUACGCUAGAGUCCGGGAGAGGGUAGUGGAAUUCCCAGUGUAGAGGUGAAAUUCGUAGAUAUUGGGAAGAACACCAGUGGCGAAGGCGGCUACCUGGUCCGGUACUGACGCUGAGGUGCGAAAGCGUGGGGAGCAAACAGG
RNAcentral lists this unclassified non-coding RNA (253 nucleotides) under uncultured Rhodospirillales bacterium. Its description in RNAcentral is "contains 16S-23S intergenic spacer region". It matches the Rfam family "Bacterial small subunit ribosomal RNA", at positions 524 to 776 of the family's 1533-position model. Lineage: Bacteria; Pseudomonadati; Pseudomonadota; Alphaproteobacteria; Rhodospirillales. The record is from RNAcentral.